GUGCCAGCCGCCGCGGUAAUACGGAGGGUGCAAGCGUUAUCCGGAAUCACUGGGUUUAAAGGGUGCGUAGGCGGUUCUAUAAGUCAGGGGUGAAAGCAUGCAGCUUAACUGUAUAAUUGCCUUUGAUACUGUAGGACUUGAAUAAGGUUGAGGUUGGCGGAAUGUGACAUGUAGCGGUGAAAUGCAUAGAUAUGUCAUAGAACACCGAUUGCGAAGGCAGCUGACUGGGCCUUUAUUGACGCUGAGCACGAAAGCGUGGGGAG
RNAcentral lists this ribosomal RNA (263 nucleotides) under uncultured Haliscomenobacter sp. Its description in RNAcentral is "partial 16S ribosomal RNA". It matches the Rfam family "Bacterial small subunit ribosomal RNA", at positions 505 to 768 of the family's 1533-position model. Lineage: Bacteria; Pseudomonadati; Bacteroidota; Saprospiria; Saprospirales; Haliscomenobacteraceae. The record is from RNAcentral.